AUUGAACGCUGGCGGCAUGCUUUACACAUGCAAGUCGAACGGCAGCGCGGGCUUCGGCCUGGCGGCGAGUGGCGAACGGGUGAGUAAUGCAUCGGAACGUGCCCAGUAGUGGGGGAUAGCCCGGCGAAAGCCGGAUUAAUACCGCAUACGACCUGAGGGUGAAAGCGGGGGACCGAAAGGCCUCGCGCUAUUAGAUCGGCCGAUGUCGGAUUAGCUAGUUGGUGGGGUAAAGGCUUACCAAGGCGACGAUCCGUAGCUGGUCUGAGAGGACGACCAGCCACACUGGGACUGAGACACGGCCCAGACUCCUACGGGAGGCAGCAGUGGGGAAUUUUGGACAAUGGGGGCAACCCUGAUCCAGCCAUGCCGCGUGCGGGAAGAAGGCCUUCGGGUUGUAAACCGCUUUUGUUCGGGAAGAAAUCCUCUGGGCUAAUACCCCGGGGGGAUGACGGUACCGGAAGAAUAAGCACCGGCUAACUACGUG
Molecule: ribosomal RNA, 484 nt
Filed under: uncultured bacterium
Lineage: Bacteria
Description: partial 16S ribosomal RNA
Rfam family: Bacterial small subunit ribosomal RNA
Source: RNAcentral